AAUAAUACCCAGGUAGUCCACGCCGUAAACGAUGAGUGCUAAGUGUUAGAGGGCUUCCACCCUUUAGUGCUGCAGCUAACGCAUUAAGCACUCCGCCUGGGGAGUACGGCCGCAAGGCUGAAACUCAAAGGAAUUGACGGGGGCCCGCACAAGCGGUGGAGCAUGUGGUUUAAUUCGAAGCAACGCGAAGAACCUUACCAGGUCUUGACAUCCUUCGCUACCUCUAGAGAUAGAGGGUUCCCCUUCGGGGGACGGAGUGACAGGUGGUGCAUGGUUGUCGUCAGCUCGUGUCGUGAGAUGUUGGGUUAAGUCCCGCAACGAGCGCAACCCUUGACCUUAGUUGCCAGCAUUCAGUUGGGCACUCUAAGGUGACUGCCGGUGACAAACCGGAGGAAGGUGGGGAUGACGUCAAAUCAUCAUGCCCCUUAUGACCUGGGCUACACACGUGCUACAAUGGAUGGUACAAAGGGUCGCGAAACCGCGAGGUGGAGCUAAUCCCAAAAAACCAUUCUCAGUUCGGAUUGCAGGCUGCAACUCCG
This 539-nucleotide ribosomal RNA is filed under the name uncultured bacterium. Its description in RNAcentral is "bacterial SSU rRNA". It matches the Rfam family "Bacterial small subunit ribosomal RNA", at positions 777 to 1314 of the family's 1533-position model. The record is from RNAcentral.